CCUACGGGAGGCAGCAGUGAGGAAUAUUGGUCAAUGGGCGCAAGCCUGAACCGGCCAUGCCGCGUGCAGGAAGAAUGCCCUCUGGGUUGUAAACUGCUUUUAUUUGGGAAUAAACCUUUUUACGUGUAGAAAGCUGAAGGUACCAAAUGAAUAAGCACCGGCUAACUCCGUGCCAGCAGCCGCGGUAAUACGGAGGGUGCAAGCGUUAUCCGGAAUCAUUGGGUUUAAAGGGUCCGCAGGCGGAUUUAUAAGUCAGUGGUGAAAUCUCUCGGCUUAACCGAGAAACUGCCAUUGAUACUGUAAGUCUUGAAUUCGGUCGAAGUGGGCGGAAUGUGUAGUGUAGCGGUGAAAUGCAUAGAUAUUACACAGAACACCGAUAGCGAAGGCAGCUCACUAGGCCUGGAUUGACGCUCAGGGACGAAAGCGUGGGGGUCAAACAGGAUUAGAUACCCUGGUAGUCCACGCUGUAAACGAUGAUUACUCGUUUUCGGUCGAUAUACAGUCGGAGACUAAGCGAAAGUGAUAAGUAAUCCACCUGGGGAGUACGAUCGCAAGGUUGAAACUCAAAGGAAUUGACGGCGUGAGACGNGCGACGGACGACGACGAGGGAGGAGG
Molecule: ribosomal RNA, 615 nt
Filed under: uncultured bacterium
Lineage: Bacteria
Description: bacterial SSU rRNA
Rfam family: Bacterial small subunit ribosomal RNA
Source: RNAcentral